UAACCUGCCCAAGAGAUCGGGAUAACACCUGGAAACAGAUGCUAAUACCGGAUAACAACAGAUGAUGCCUAUCAACUGUUUAAAAGAUGGUUCUGCUAUCACUCUUGGAUGGACCUGCGGUGCAUUAGCUAGUUGGCAGGGUAACGGCCUACCAAGGCGAUGAUGCAUAGCCGAGUUGAGAGACUGAUCGGCCACAUUGGGACUGAGACACGGCCCAAACUCCUACGGGAGGCAGCAGCC
Molecule: ribosomal RNA, 240 nt
Filed under: uncultured Lactobacillus sp.
Lineage: Bacteria; Bacillati; Bacillota; Bacilli; Lactobacillales; Lactobacillaceae
Description: partial 16S ribosomal RNA
Rfam family: Bacterial small subunit ribosomal RNA
Source: RNAcentral